Molecule: ribosomal RNA, 256 nt
Filed under: uncultured microorganism
Description: partial 16S ribosomal RNA
Rfam family: Bacterial small subunit ribosomal RNA
Source: RNAcentral
GAGUUUGAUCGUGGCUCAGAUUGAACGCUGGCGGCAUGCCUUACACAUGCAAGUCGAACGGCAGCAUGAUCUAGCUUGCUAGAUUGAUGGCGUGUGGCGAACGGGUGAGUAAUACAUCGGAACGUGCCCUGUAGUGGGGGAUAACUAGUCGAAAGAUUAGCUAAUACCGCAUACGACCUGAGGGUGAAAGUGGGGGACCGCAAGGCCUCAUGCUAUAGGAGCGGCCGAUGUCUGAUUAGCUAGUUGGUGGGGUAAA